GAGAGUUUGAUCCUGGCUCAGGAUGAACGCUAGCUACAGGCUUAACACAUGCAAGUCGAGGGGCAGCAUGGUCUUAGCUUGCUAAGGCCGAUGGCGACCGGCGCACGGGUGAGUAACGCGUAUCCAACCCGCCUUACACUCUUGGACAGCCUUCUGAAAGGGAGAUUAAUACAAGAUGUUAUCAUGAGUAAGCAUUUUCGCAUGAUUAAAGGUUUACCGGUGUAAGAUGGGGAUGCGUUCCAUUAGAUAGUAGGCGGGGUAACGGCCCACCUAGUCUUCGAUGGAUAGGGGUUCUGAGAGGAAGGUCCCCCACAUUGGAACUGAGACACGGUCCAAACUCCUACGGGAGGCAGCAGUGAGGAAUAUUGGUCAAUGGACGAGAGUCUGAACCAGCCAAGUAGCGUGAAGGAUGAAGGUUCUAUGGAUUGUAAACUUCUUUUAUACGGGAAUAAACGGAUCCACGUGUGGAUUUUUGCAUGUACCGUAUGAAUAAGGAUCGGCUAACUCCGUGCCAGCAGCCGCGGUAAUACGGAGGAUCCGAGCGUUAUCCGGAUUUAUUGGGUUUAAAGGGAGCGUAGAUGGGUUGUUAAGUCAGUUGUGAAAGUUUGCGGCUCAACCGUAAAAUUGCAAUUGAUACUGGCAGUCUUGAGUACAGUUGAGGUAGGCGGAAUUCGUGGUGUAGCGGUGAAAUGCUUAGAUAUCACGAAGAACUCCGAUUGCGAAGGCAGCUUACUAACCUGUAACUGACAUUGAUGCUCGAAAGUGUGGGUAUCAAACAGGAUUAGAUACCCUGGUAGUCCACACGGUAAACGAUGAAUACUCGCUGUAGGCGAUAUACAGUCUGCGGCCAAGCGAAAGCAUUAAGUAUUCCACCUGGGGAGUACGCCGGCAACGGUGAAACUCAAAGGAAUUGACGGGGGCCCGCACAAGCGGAGGAACAUGUGGUUUAAUUCGAUGAUACGCGAGGAACCUUACCCGGGCUUAAAUUGCAACCGAAUAUGGCGGAAACGCUAUAGCUAGCAAUAGCGGUUGUGAAGGUGCUGCAUGGUUGUCGUCAGCUCGUGCCGUGAGGUGUCGGCUUAAGUGCCAUAACGAGCGCAACCCUUGCCGAUAGUUACUAACAGGUUAUGCUGAGGACUCUGUCGGGACUGCCAUCGUAAGAUGUGAGGAAGGUGGGGAUGACGUCAAAUCAGCACGGCCCUUACGUCCGGGGCUACACACGUGUUACAAUGGGGGGUACAGAGGGCUGCUACCACGCAAGUGGAUGCCAAUCCCAAAAACCUCUCUCAGUUCGGAUUGAAGUCUGCAACCCGACUUCAUGAAGCUGGAUUCGCUAGUAAUCGCGCAUCAGCCACGGCGCGGUGAAUACGUUCCCGGGCCUUGUACACACCGCCCGUCAAGCCAUGGGAGCCGGGGGUACCUGAAGUGCGUAACCGCAAGGAGCGCCCUAGGGUAAAACUGGUGACUGGGGCUAAGUCGUAACAAGGUAGCCG
Molecule: ribosomal RNA, 1493 nt
Filed under: uncultured bacterium
Lineage: Bacteria
Description: bacterial SSU rRNA
Rfam family: Bacterial small subunit ribosomal RNA
Source: RNAcentral